UAAAAUUUUAUUAAUUAGGUAGUAAAGAAAUUUCUAAAACCUAAAGAAUUUGGCGGUGUUUUAAAUAAUUGGAGGAAUCUGUUAUUUAAUUGAUAACCCACAACAAAUCUUUCCUUAUUUUUGUUUGUAUAUCAUCAUUUAAAGAUAAUAUUUUAAAAUUAUAAUCACAAUUAAUUAAAUUUUAUAAAUUAGAUCAAGAUGCAGCAUAAUAUGGUUAUAAUGGAUUACAAUAUUAUUUAAAUAUAUACGAAUAGUAUAAAGAAAAUGUAUUUGAAGGAGGAUUUAAAAGUAAUUCGGAAAUAAUAUGUUCUUUUGAAUAAUAAUUUAAAACAUGC
Molecule: ribosomal RNA, 335 nt
Filed under: Diplocentrus rectimanus
Lineage: Eukaryota; Metazoa; Arthropoda; Arachnida; Scorpiones; Diplocentridae
Description: partial 12S ribosomal RNA
Source: RNAcentral